This 301-nucleotide ribosomal RNA is filed under the name uncultured bacterium. RNAcentral describes it as "partial 16S ribosomal RNA". It matches the Rfam family "Bacterial small subunit ribosomal RNA", at positions 509 to 807 of the family's 1533-position model. The record is from RNAcentral.
CAGCCGCCGCGGGAAUACGAAGGGGGCUAGCGUUGUUCGGAAUUACUGGGCGUAAAGGGCGCGUAGGCGGCCAUUCAAGUUAGACGUGAAAGCCCUGGGCUCAACCUAGGAAUUGCAUUUGAUACUGUUUGGCUUGAGUUCGGGAGAGGUGAGUGGAAUUCCCAGUGUAGAGGUGAAAUUCGUAGAUAUUGGGAAGAACACCAACGGCGAAAGCACUCUGCUGGGCCGACACUGACACUGGGAGACGAAAGCUAGGGGAGCAAAUGGGAUUAGAUACCCCCGUAGUCCCUGUCUCUUAUAC